RNAcentral lists this ribosomal RNA (4012 nucleotides) under uncultured bacterium. RNAcentral's name for it is "bacterial LSU rRNA". The stretch from base 2084 to 4012 matches the Rfam family "Bacterial large subunit ribosomal RNA", at positions 1 to 1952 of the family's 2925-position model. The record is from RNAcentral.
UGCAGUUGAGCGGGGUUCUGCAGAGUAUCGCAAGACCUAGCGGCAAACGGGUGAGUAACACAUGGGAAACCUCCCUCAGAAUGGGGAAUAUUUCCGAGAAAUCGGAGUCAAUACCGCAUAAGACCACAGUUUGGCAUCAAACAGAGGUCAAAGCAGCAAUGCGUUUUGAGAUGGUCCUGUGUCCUGUCAGCUAGUUGGUGGUGUAAUGGACUACCAAGGCUAUGACGGGUAUCCGGCCUGAAAGGGUGAACGGACACACUGGAACUGAGACACGGUCCAGACUCCUACGGGAGGCAGCAGUGGGGAAUUUUGGACAAUGGGGGAAACCCUGAUCCAGCGACGCCGCGUGGAGGACGAAGUUCUUCGGAUUGUAAACUCCUUUUAGAGGGGAAGAAUAAAUUGACGGUACCCUCAGAAAAAGCCACGGCUAACUACGUGCCAGCAGCCGCGGUAAUACGUAGGUGGCGAGCGUUACUCGGAAUUACUAGGCGUAAAGCGUAUGUAGGCGGUCGGAUAAGUCUUUGGUGAAAUUUCUCGGCUCAACCGGGAAAGGCACAAGGAUACUGUUCGGCUUGAGUGUGGUAGGGGGAGAUGGAAUUCCUGGUGUAGCGGUGAAAUGCGUAGAUAUCAGGAGGAACACCGAUGGCGAAAGCAGUCUCCUGGACCAAUACUGACGCUAAUGUACGAAAGCUAGGGUAGCAAACAGGAUUAGAUACCCUGGUAGUCCUAGCUGUAAACGAUGUUCACUAGAUGUGGGAGAAUUAACCCUUCCGCGUCGACGCUAACGCAUUAAGUGAACCGCCUGGGGAGUACGGCCGCAAGGUUGAAACUCAAAGGAAUUGACGGGGGCCCGCACAAGCGGUGGAGUAUGUGGUUUAAUUCGACGCAACGCGAAAAACCUUACCUGGGCUUGAACUGCUAAUGGUAAAAGCCGGAAACGGUAAUGACCCGCAAGGGAGUUAGCAGAGGUGCUGCAUGGCUGUCGUCAGCUUCGUGUCCUGAAAUGUUGGGGUUAAGUCCCCGCAACGAGCGCCAACCCCUCAUUUCUAUGUUAACCUGGUAGCAAUACAAGGGUCUCUUAGGAAACUGCCAUCGAUAAGAUGGAGGAAGGUGGGGACGACGUCAAGUCAUCAUGGCCUUUAUGUCCAGGGCUACACACGUACUACAAUGGUCGGUACAGAGGGAAGCGAAGACCUUAAGGUGGAGCAAAUCUCACAAAGCCGGCUUCAGUUCAGGAUUGUGGGCUGCAAUUCGCCCACAUGAAGUAGGAAUCGCUAGUAUUCGCAGAUCAGCACGCUGCGGUGAAUACGUUCCCGGGCCUUGUACACACCGCCGGUCACACCACGAAAGUCAGUCAUAACAGAAAGUCGUUGAGCUAACCGCAAGGAGGGCAGGCGCCUAAGUUAUGGUUGGUGAUUGGGGUGAAAGUCGUAACAAGGUAGCCGUACGAGAACGUGCGGCUGGAUCACCUCCUUUUUAUAAACUUUAUAUAUCGGGUGUUAAUGGUUAAUGCUUUGAAUUAUGGUCUUUUAUGGGGCGUUUGUCUGUGUGUUAUUUAGUUAAUUAUUUUUCCUGCUCAUUCUAUAUGAUAGGGAAUUUAUGCGCUGUUAAAGACUAUAUCUCAGUAUGGCAAAGUGAGAAAUGUAUAGCGGGCCUAUAGCUCAGUUAGUCAGAGCGCACCCCUGAUAAGGGUGAGGUCUGUGGUGCAAAUCCACAUAGGCCCAUCAAUGUUGGAAUUGUUGAUGAAUGGGGAUAUAGCUCAACUGGGAGAGCGCCUGCUUUGCAAGCAGGAGGUUGCGAGUUCGACCCUCGCUAUCUCCAUAAUACGAAUGUUUCAUCUCUUUACAAUAUUUGGAUUAUGGUAAAGAGAUAAAUAAUAGUUGUAAUUGUUCAUUGAAAACUUAAUAAAGGUAAAUCAAGCGUCUUCAAAAUUAAUUUUUUGAAACAUAAGUAAGAAGUAAAUUUAAUGAAGGUCAUAUAACAUUUGUUUAAGUUUUUUAAUUUUAAUUAAAAGAUGAUAGCAAGUGAGAUUAGUUAAUGUGACCAAGCUAUUAAGUGCAUAUGGUGGAUGCCUAGUUAAUGUGACCAAGCUAUUAAGUGCAUAUGGUGGAUGCCUUGGCUAAGACUGUCGAAGAAGGACGUGGUAAGCUGCGUUAAGCGUCGGGGAGGAGCAAACAUCCUGUGAUCCGGCGAUUUCCGAAUGGGGUAACCCACUAAGGAGUUAAUCCUUAGUAUCCGAAAGGAAGGCAACCGGGGAAGUGAAACAUCUCAGUACCCGGAGGAAAAAGAAAUCCACCGAGACUACCGAGAGUAGUGGCGAGCGAAAUCGGUAUAGCCCAAACCGUUGUGUUUACACAACGGGGUUUGCAGGACCGCAUAAGUAGAGUUAUCAAUCAGAAAGCUAGUCGAACGGUUUGGAAAGUCCGACCAUAGAAGGUGAAAGUCCUGUAAGCGAAAGUUUUCUGACUCGAAGCGGUAUCCUAAGUACCAUCGGACACGUGAAAUCCGGUGGGAAUCUGGGGGGACCACCCUCCAAGGCUAAAUACAAGUCUUAGACCGAUAGUGAACCAGUACCGUGAGGGAAAGGCGAAAAGAACCGCGGAAGCGGAGUGAAAUAGAACCUGAAACCGUAUGCAUACAAGCAGUUCGAGGCUUAUGCCAGAAGCGCAAAGCGACUGGAAUGGCUGAGAGCGUGCCUGUUGAAGAAUGAUCCGGCGAGUUAUUGGUAGGUGCAAGGUUAAUUAUUAUGUUAACGCAUAUUAAGCAGCCGUAGCGAAAGCAAGUCUGAAAGGGCGAAUAGUACCUAUCAUUAGACCCGAAGCCAAGUGAUCUAUGCCUGGACAGAGUGAAUCCCCUUUAACCGGGGGAGGAGGCUCGAAGCGUCGACCGUUGAAAAGGUCUUGCAUGAGCUGGGUAUAGGGGUGAAAGGCCAAUCUAACUUGGUGAUAGCUGGUUCUCCUCGAAAUAGCUUUUGGGCUAAUGGUGUAGCGUUAAGUCAAAGAGGUAGAGCACUGGAUAGUUUAGCGGGUGUAACCCACUUUGCAAUGCUAACCAAACUCCGAAUUCUUUGAUGUAUCUCUAUGGAGUCAGUACGUGUGGGAUAAGCUUCACGUGCAAAAGGGAAACAGCCCAGACCAUCAAUUAAGGUCCCAAAGUAUAUGCUAAGUGGUAAAGGAUGUGGAAUUUCUUAGACAGCUAGGGAGGUUGGCUUAGAAGCAGCCACCCUUUAAAGAGUGCGUAACAGCUCACUAGUCAAGUGAUUCUGCGCCGAAAUCACCCGGGGCUCAAGCAUAUCACCGAAAUUAUGGAUUUUUGCAAUUAAUUGCAAGAGUGGUAGAGGAGCGUUCCUGUCGCAUUGAAGGCAUUCCGUAAGGAGUGCUGGAGUGUCAGGAAGUGAGGAUGUCGGAAUAAGUAGCGAUAAGAGGGGUGAAAAUCCUCUCCGCCGAAAACCUAAGGUUUCCUUGAGUAAAGUUCGUCUGCUCAGGGUUAGUCGAUCCUAAGCCGAGAGCGAAAGCUGUAGGCGAUGGGUAUCAGGUUAAUAUUCCUGAACUAUCUUUGGUGCGUAUAAUGUGUUUGGCUACGCUUUUCAGUAGGUCAUCAUCCGAUUGGAAGUGGAUGUUGCCUCGCAAGAGGGAGGAUUUCGGGUAACCGAGAGAACUGACUGUAUGGGGAGCCAAGAAAAAACCAGACACCUGUGCCAGAGGUAAACGUACCGUAAACGGACACACGUAGGUGGGGUGAAAAUCCUAAGGCGCGCGAGAUAACUUUCGUUUAGGAACUCGGCAUAUUAGCCCCGUAACUUCGGGAUAAGGGGUGCCUGUAGCAAUACAGGUCGCAGUGAAAUGGCCCUCGUGACUGUUUAACAAAAACACAGGACUCUGCUGAAAUCACAAGAUGAUGUAUAGGGUCUGACGCCUGACCGGUGCUGGAAGGUCAAGGGGAGGGGUUAGCCGCAAGGCGAAGCUCUGAUCUUAGCCCCAGUAAACGGCGGCCGUAAAAAUCAUUCCGCCCC